AGAUUACAGCUUCCAGAACGACUACCAAUCCAACCAACAUGGCUACUGGCCAUGAUAUCUGGAAGAGUCCAACAGCUGACGUACAAAGAAAGAUCAGCUUCCUCUGGCUCCCAGCUGGGCAGAAAUGGCAGUUCCUAUAAGUGAGGAUCGGGUCAGCAGCAGCAGCCCCUGUAGUCCUGGAUGGCAUACAGCUCUAGAGAUAAUGAUGAAGUGACUGGACAUCAUUAGUGGCUGGUGGCAUCUAUGUCAGAGGGGCAAUGAAGCUGCUCUAGGCUAACUUUAAAGAAGCUAUCCAAGAUGCUGAACCGGCUUCCCCAUUGCUGCCCUGCUGGCUAGGAAGCCACCAGGUAAACUGCUGGCCCUCCAAUGAGUAUAAUGGCAGAAAAGGAAUUUAAACUUGAGAUUCUCAAGUCCAACACUAUGUACUAUACCAUACUAGCCUAGGUCCAAAAAUAAACCAGCAUGUCAGUAUCACUGCAAAUACUCUGGAAACCAUCACUCAUGGCCUUUGAUAUAACAUUUGGUAAUACUUUUAAAAUAUAUAUUAUAAAAGAGAAUAUGUGAACAAUAUAUAUCUGUAGCCAAGGGUCCGUUUUAGGGGAAUUUUAUUAUUGUUGUUAGUUCAAAUAUUGCAAGA
Molecule: long non-coding RNA, 637 nt
Organism: Sceloporus undulatus (fence lizard)
Lineage: Eukaryota; Metazoa; Chordata; Lepidosauria; Squamata; Phrynosomatidae
Exons: 3
Source: RefSeq, a predicted model, not a curated record